RNAcentral lists this small nucleolar RNA (131 nucleotides) under Castor canadensis (American beaver). RNAcentral describes it as "Small nucleolar RNA SNORA51 (ENSCCNG00000018364.1)". It matches the Rfam family "Small nucleolar RNA SNORA51". Rfam says of the family: ACA51 is a member of the H/ACA class of snoRNA that guide the sites of modification of uridines to pseudouridines. Lineage: Eukaryota; Metazoa; Chordata; Mammalia; Rodentia; Castoridae. The record is from Rfam by way of RNAcentral.
GUUGUCCUGGUGCUGGUCACAGGCUAUGUUCCUAACUGACCAUACAGAAAGAGGAGGGAGAGUAAACCCACCCCAUAUACACGUCAGACCAGCCCAUGUGCCCGGUCUAUAUUGUGAACGGGGAGACAUGG